AAAUUGCGUUAGGGAUUGAAGUGAAAAUCCUUUGAUCACACGGUAGAGUGGUCAAAGAUUGUAACGUAAAGCCCGACCAUCC
This 82-nucleotide small RNA is filed under the name Nonlabens sp. Hel1_33_55. RNAcentral describes it as "Flavo-1 RNA". It matches the Rfam family "Flavo-1 RNA". The record is from RNAcentral. Lineage: Bacteria; Pseudomonadati; Bacteroidota; Flavobacteriia; Flavobacteriales; Flavobacteriaceae.